CAGAGCGUAUGCCCACGAAAGCAAACGCAUCCCGCAUAUCCGCAUCCUUUCCAUCAUCAUCCUCUCCUGUUUUCCCCUUUUUCAUUCUUCACGUCUUCCCCGAAAAAGUUUUGAUUUCUUUUCCAGUCGCUGCCCCCCCCCCCCCCCCCCCCCCCAUCCAUCCAUCCAUCCCGCUGUGUGUAAGAGUCUCUACCCUCCCAUCCACCUACCCACCACCGUACGUCGGCUCGUGCGUGUCUGCGACGAACUCGCCCCCUCACCUGGCUUUCCUUCUCCAUUGGUGAACUCUCUCACAGGUCUCUCGGAUAACGCGGGAGCAAUAUAGACGCCCUCUGGACACAGCAGCAGCAACCUUCGACACGCUCACGCAGCUUCACUGCUGGCGUGUGCCUCCGCGCGCGCACACAUACGCACAGACCCAACCGACCUUGCGCGUCGCCCGCACAUUUUGAGGAACACACACACACAUAUAUAUAUAUAUAUAUAUAUAUAUAUGUAUAUACCCUCUCAAGUCUUCGCCUUUUCGCUUUCCAAUUGGACGACAUCGUCACUCCGCCGUACAGCACCGCCGCCAAGCCGCCCGCGACUUUCGAGCCGCUCCAUCGACGUACGCCGUUCUUCUUGAGGUGUUGCUUCCCCGCACCACCGCUUUGUUCUUGCCAGCACCCUCCUGAGCGGGACAGCCUUCCAUGAUACAGCCACCACCUUACGCGCACCGGCUCAUUCGAAAGCAUGGACUUCGCCUUUCGCCUGUUCACCUCCGUCAUCCCGGUGGACCGGGAGAAGAUGACGCAUCAGAUGCUUGUCUUCUGGCUUAUCCUCACCAGUGGCGGCAUCUCCAUGUACCUGUUCUUCGCCUCCAUCUCCUACUUCAUGUACUUUCGCAAGUUGAAGCGACAGUUCUUUCCCAAGACGAUCGAUCCCGACGAUGCUCGCGAGUUGCAUGAGCAGGUGCGGCACGAGAUUUGGAUUGCGGUGUGCUCGAUCCCAUUCAUGGCGUUUUUGAUGAUGCCGGCGGCCACCUUCUCGCACCGUGGGUACAGCAAGCUGUACUACAACAUCUCCGACUACGGCUGGGCGUACUUCCUGAUGUCGCCUGUGCUGUUCUUCGCCUUUACCGACUUCAUGGUGUACUGCUUCCACCGUGGGCUGCACCACCCGAUAAUCUACAAGCACGUGCACAAACUGCACCACACAUACAAGUACACAACGCCCUUCUCGUCGCACGCCUUUAACCCUGUUGACGGCUUCGGCCAGGGCGUUCCGUACUACGUCUUUGUCUAUUUAUUUCCCCUCCACAACAUCCUCUUCAUUGUGCUAUUCUUGGCGGUGAACUUCUGGACGAUCUCGAUCCACGACCAGGUUGAUUUUGGUGGGCACUUCAUCAACACAACUGGCCAUCACACGAUCCACCACGAACUGUCCAACUGCGACUACGGCCAGUACACGACUAUAUGGGACCGCCUGGGUGGAUCGUACCGCCCUGCCGAGCAGACGCAUCACCUAUCGUCCCUGCUGCGCGCUGGCGAUCCCAGGUAUGUGGACCCCGUGUACGAGUCAUAUCACGAGGAGAAGGGCUUCCUGGCAGGUCGGUUCAAGGAGGAGGCCGCCGCGCGUCGCUCAAAGAAGGUGGGCGCAUAAGAGAAGGAUCGGCCACCUUAUCGAGCACGCAUGCGCUAUAGUAACGCAUAUAAAUUUCUUGUGCUUUUUGUUUUAUGUUUCCAAGAAGAUGGGGUUUGGACACCGUCACGCUCACGUUCACGCCCACGCCAUUCUCGCGCCCUGACUGGUCAUGUCUUCGUAUGCCGUCGGCCGUUGAUGGAAGACGGAGGGGCAUGCGUGUGGGGCAGUUGCGCGCGAAUGGGCGCAUGCGUCUCUGGGCGAGGCCCCUUGUACUUCUCUAGUAUUUCUUGUGUGUGCGCGCGGCUCAGUCGCCGUCUUGUCUUUUCCUUCCUUCCUUCCUCCUCUACAGCUGUUACAACAUCAGCAACAUCAAGCAAACGGCAGCCAGUGUUGGCGAGAGCGCAAAAACUGAAAAGCGUGAAAGGGAGGGGAUGGUGGACUGCCAGUUAAUUCGAAUAGGAUGCGGGCUUCGGUGGACCUGGUGUACGUCUCUCUCUCUCUGUUUUUGACCUGCCUGCAUGCGUGUGCCGCGCGCUCUGAGCGCGUCCUCUCCUUUUCACGCAUUCCUUUGCUCGCCUCCUCUUUGUUUGCAUGUUGCUCUCUGUGCGUGUGUGCGAAUAUGGACGUAGGAAGGGGGAGAGGGGGAGGCGUACGUCAGCUGGCACGCAUGUGCCACGCACACUCCACCCUCUUUUCGCAGGCGUGAGAUGGGACACUUCAGCUACCCCUCCCCUACCGACCGCCACCGCCACCGCCGUCUCCAUCCCGUCCCUUACACACACACACACACGUUUUCCUUUGAUAUGUUUGCCUUUACUUUCGUCCUCUUUUUUCUCUAACUGCUGUUUUGCCUCAACGGUCUUUCCCUUCGUCCUUUGCCCGCUCUGCUCCACUCCAGACCCCCCACCUCCGUCUCUGGCUCUUCUCUGCCGUGCUAUGCUCCGCCCUGCCUGCUCUUCGGUCUUUCCUCCUCUGCUGAGGGGUACGAUACUAUAUAGAGGGGGUGGGGCGGUGGUGGGAGGUCAUAUGAGAGCUGUGCCAGCGCUUCGAGAGUGAGCAUCCGCGUUGAUUACCGUCAGCUGCACACACUACACUCCCCUGUACCUCUGCUCUCUUUUCUUAGUCACUGUCCUCCGUUUCGCGUCUCGUCUGCCAGCAUCGUGUCUCCUGCCCCAACCCCUUCCUCUACCUUUUUCUUUUUCGAGGUUGCACAUGCAGGCGAGCACUCUUGUGGUUUUUCACGGACAGGCUUUCGGCGUCCUUUCACAACCGAAAGACGAAGAAGAGGAAGGGCGCGCAGGUGAAGGGUAGCGGCGCAUAUGAACUUGGUCUUGACAAUGGCAGACCACGCUGCGCCUGCCUCCCCCUCUCUUCUUCCGUUCCCCGUGCGGGGAGCGCAGGCGUUUUCACCGCCCUCUCAUUUUGCUUCCUUUUUCUUCCUCCCUUCCGUUGUCGCGGCGGGCGAGCGACGGCGAUGUCCCCUUCCCUCCCUCUCCUCCGCACACCAAAGAAAUGCCGAUAAAACACCAACUUAUAUCUAAGGAGGGAGGGAAGAGGAAGCCCCAUGCAGACAUGACAUGUAAGAAUAAAUACACAGACGCACACGCAUACGCGCGCAAGCCAAAGAUAAGAAAGUGCGCACAGACGCGCAGGGAGGGCGAGAGGGAAGGGGCGAGGGCACUACUCCUCCUC
Molecule: unclassified non-coding RNA, 3315 nt
Filed under: Leishmania donovani
Lineage: Eukaryota; Euglenozoa; Kinetoplastea; Trypanosomatida; Trypanosomatidae
Description: gene:LdHU3.23.2090(CDS-product:lathosterol_oxidas e-like_protein)
Source: RNAcentral